RNAcentral lists this ribosomal RNA (465 nucleotides) under uncultured bacterium. Its description in RNAcentral is "partial 16S ribosomal RNA". It matches the Rfam family "Bacterial small subunit ribosomal RNA", at positions 28 to 507 of the family's 1533-position model. The record is from RNAcentral.
GAUGAACGCUGGCGGCGUGCUUAACACAUGCAAGUCGAACGGAAAGGCCCAAGCUUGCUUGGGUACUCGAGUGGCGAACGGGUGAGUAACACGUGGGUGAUCUGCCCUGCACUUCGGGAUAAGCCUGGGAAACUGGGUCUAAUACCGGAUAGGACCACAUUUUGGAUGGUGUGGUGGAAAGUUUUUCGGGGUGGGAUGAGCUCGCGGCCUAUCAGCUUGUUGGUGGGGUAAUGGCCUACCAAGGCGUCGACGGGUAGCCGGCCUGAGAGGGUGUACGGCCACAUUGGGACUGAGAUACGGCCCAGACUCCUACGGGAGGCAGCAGUGGGGAAUAUUGCACAAUGGGCGCAAGCCUGAUGCAGCGACGCCGCGUGGGGGAUGACGGCCUUCGGGUUGUAAACUCCUUUCGCUAGGGACGAAGCGCAAGUGACGGUACCUGGAGAAGAAGCACCGGCUAACUACGUG